This is a non-coding RNA of Microcebus murinus (gray mouse lemur), 502 nucleotides long. The record is from RefSeq and is a predicted model, not a curated record. NCBI's taxonomy places the organism in Eukaryota, Metazoa, Chordata, Mammalia, Primates, Cheirogaleidae.
UAAGUAUUUUAAAGUAGUUUCUAAGCAAUCAAAAUAUGCAGCCAGGUUGAGAACUACUGAUGGCAGAGCGCUCAAUCCACAGAUGGGGACUAUUGGAUCUAUAGUCCUGAAUGGAGGAGAGCUGGAAUUUGACCAAAUAAACAUGAAGAUUUCAUCUUGGUUACUGAGUAGAUCAUAAGCUCAGAAUACAAACAUGAAUAAGGCAUUGCCUUUCAUCAGCAAGCUUGACUACAAUGGGUGAAAAGUUGAGUUAGAAAUCACAGCUUUUGAUGUUCUAUGACUGACAGUGGUUACCAGGCAAUCACAUUUAUUUAUUGACCUGUGGAGAAAAAUGGAUACUCUUGAGCUCUCCAUAAAGGCCUGCCUUCGAGCUCACUGAUUCAUUCUUCUGCUUGGUCAAUUCUACUAUUGAGGGAUGCUGCUAAAGAACAGCACCUUUAAGAAGAAGGAAGAAACAUGUAGGGGUAGUAAGAAUAAUUUGUCUACUGUUUGGCACUGCACU